GGCAGGGUAGCUCAAUGGUGGAGCAAUGGAAUCAUAACCCAUCGGUUGUGGGUUCGAGUCCCACCCCUGCCA
Molecule: transfer RNA, 72 nt
Filed under: bacterium
Lineage: Bacteria
Description: tRNA-Met
Rfam family: tRNA
About the family: Transfer RNA (tRNA) molecules are approximately 80 nucleotides in length. Their secondary structure includes four short double-helical elements and three loops (D, anti-codon, and T loops). Further hydrogen bonds mediate the characteristic L-shaped molecular structure. tRNAs have two regions of fundamental functional importance: the anti-codon, which is responsible for specific mRNA codon recognition, and the 3' end, to which the tRNAs corresponding amino acid is attached (by aminoacyl-tRNA synthetases). tRNAs cope with the degeneracy of the genetic code in two manners: having more than one tRNA (with a specific anti-codon) for a particular amino acid; and 'wobble' base-pairing, i.e. permitting non-standard base-pairing at the 3rd anti-codon position.
Source: RNAcentral